GCCCCUGUAGCUCAGAGGAUAGAGCAGUGGUUUCCUAAACCAUGUGUCGCAGGUUCGAGUCCUGCCAGGGGUA
This 73-nucleotide transfer RNA is filed under the name Anaerolineae bacterium. Its description in RNAcentral is "tRNA-Arg". It matches the Rfam family "tRNA". Rfam says of the family: Transfer RNA (tRNA) molecules are approximately 80 nucleotides in length. Their secondary structure includes four short double-helical elements and three loops (D, anti-codon, and T loops). Lineage: Bacteria; Bacillati; Chloroflexota; Anaerolineae. The record is from RNAcentral.